AGCGAGAACCAGGGCUUCGGCCCUGGGGACAGCGGCGAACGGGUGAGUAACACGUGGGUAAUCCACCCUCGGCACCGGAAUAGCCCGGGGAAACCCGGAUUAAUGCCGGAUGGCCCGCCUGCCCCGAGGGGCUGGCGGAAAAGGUAGCUUCGGCCUCCGGCCGAGGACGAGCCCGCGACGGAUUAGCUUGUUGGUGGGGUAACGGCCUACCAAGGCUGCGAUCCGUAGCUGGUCUGAGAGGACGAUCAGCCACACUGGGACUGAGACACGGCCCAGACUCCUACGGGAGGCAGCAGUGGGGAAUCUUGCGCAAUGGGCGAAAGCCUGACGCAGCGACGCCGCGUGGGGGAAGAAGGCCUUCGGGUUGUAAACCUCUUUCAGGAGGGACGAAGCCACUCGGGUUAAUAGCCCAGAGGGUGACGGUACCUCCAGAAGAAGCCCCGGCUAACUACGUGCCAGCAGCCGCGGUAAUACGUAGGGGGCAAGCGUUGUCCGGAUUUAUUGGGCGUAAAGAGCGUGUAGGCGGCCAGGUAGGUCUGCUGUGAAAACUCGAGGCUUAACCUCGAGCUGUCGGCGGAAACCAUCUGGCUAGAGUCCGGAAGAGGAGAAUGGAAUUCCCGGUGUAGCGGUGAA
This 633-nucleotide ribosomal RNA is filed under the name uncultured earthworm intestine bacterium. RNAcentral describes it as "bacterial SSU rRNA". It matches the Rfam family "Bacterial small subunit ribosomal RNA", at positions 65 to 685 of the family's 1533-position model. The record is from RNAcentral.